Long non-coding RNA from Choloepus didactylus (southern two-toed sloth), 1610 nucleotides. RefSeq lists it as uncharacterized. The transcript has 4 exons. NCBI's taxonomy places the organism in Eukaryota, Metazoa, Chordata, Mammalia, Pilosa, Megalonychidae. The record is from RefSeq and is a predicted model, not a curated record.
GUCUACAAAAUUGGUGGUGCUGAUGCUGUCCCUGUGGGCUGAGUGGAGACUGGUCUCAAACUGAACCUGGUAGUCACCUUUGCUCCAGUCAACAUUACAACUGAAGUAAAGUCUGCUGGAAUGCACCAUAAAGCUUUGAGUGAAGUUCUUCCUGGGGACCACGUGGGCUUCAAUGUCAAGAACAUGUCUGUAAAAGAUGUUUGUUGUGGCAAUGUGGCUAUUGAUGUCAAAAAUGACCCACUAGUGGAAGCAGCUGGCUUCACUGCUCAGGUCAUUUUGUGAUAUGAGACAGACAGCGGCUGUGAGUGUCAUCAAGGCAGUGGACAAGACGGUUACUGGAGCUGGCAAGAUCACAAAGUCUGCCCAGAAAGCUCAGAAGGCUAAAUGGAUAUGAUCCAUAACACCUGCCAUCACAGUCUUAAUCAGAGGGGGAAGAACUGUCUCAGAACUGUUUGUCUCCACUGGUUUAAUAAUUGCCUGAUGCAUCACUUUGCACACAAGAUGCCCUAAAUAAGUACUGCUUCAUCAAUGUGAUGUUGCAGCGACACAUCUACCCCACUCAUCCCAGCCUCAAGGAGAGACGCACAGUUUAUGACUAUAUGGUUUACCAAGGUUUAUCAGAAUAACAGGCCAACAGAUAAAACUGCUAAGAUGACUAAAUGGUACUCUGGUUACGUCUAGCAUCAUAACUGCCGGGUAGGUGUACCGAAGUCUUCUGACUGAUUCACAGGAACCCUAAGGUAUUUGGGAGAAUAAUUUGCCCAAACACAUAGUUGUUACUAUUGGAAGUCACUAGAAUGUUAAGUGUUUCUCACUGUAUCAUACUGGAAAUCAAUCUUUUCAACAUACAAACCAUGAUUUCUGUAUGUAAGAAGUCCGCCUGUAUUGGUUAAAGGUCUAGUUUUUUCCACAACAUGUAUUUUUUCCUCUCCCUCCUUCCUACCCUCUCCUUAUCUUUCUGUGCAUUCUAAAGAAGAAGAAAGGAGUCAUUAGUUCAUCAAGUCAAGGAAAAUGAGAGCCAUCACUGAACAGUCAGUGAACUAGUUCAAUGACACUUUUAAAUGGAAAGCUUUCCCAGGACAGGUGGUGGAUGGUCUGGACAGAUCCUCCAGGCAAUCUAAGUAAGAGCAUCCCCAAGCCAGGAAAAAAGUUCUUACUUCCCUCCUCCUAGGCUCUUUUCACCUUCCUCUACUUCUCUCAGGCAGCAAUCAUUCUCCAAUCCCACCACAUUCUGAAUCAGCAUCCCAGAAUUACCCAAAACAUGACUGAUCAUGAGCCCUCCCCAGAAGCACAAAGUAGACGCUCCAUAAACUUCCCCUUGAACUUGAUUCAAACUCAAAUUCUCAGUUCAACUUGUGGUUAGUCAGCUAACGAGGUGCAAUAAGAGGUAGCGAGGAACUGGGUCUGGCCCAGGCUCCUGGGAAAGCCCCUGCUGUCAUCUGGGUUCUACCCUACCCCAAACAGGCCUCAUGUUGGGAAGAGGCACUUUUACUCCCUCCAGAAAGAGAAGGAACUAUACUGUGCCAGUGUGAAUAUAUUGUGUCCCCCAAAUGCCAUUAUCUUUGAUGUAAUCUUGUGUAGGCAGACAUUAUCAGUGUUGAUUAGAUUUC